Molecule: long non-coding RNA, 4919 nt
Filed under: Human betaherpesvirus 5
Lineage: Duplodnaviria; Heunggongvirae; Peploviricota; Herviviricetes; Herpesvirales; Orthoherpesviridae
Description: RNA4.9
Source: RNAcentral
GGCGCAGUCCGCGGCAGGGUUCCGGCCGUGCUGCGGUCCGCACGCUGCGCCCGCUCCCGCCUGCCUCCCGCCCUACCCCCCACCCUCCCCGGCCGAGGCCCGGCGCCGGCCCGUCCGCGGGCCCGUCCCACCGCCCUGGAGCACCAUCCGGGGCCGUGGGCCGGGCACCGGGCGCGGCCCGCUCCGGACCUCGGCCGGGGGUCCCUCCCCUCCCCCCGCUCGACCCCCCAUCCGACGGCCCGGCCGGGCUGGGACCCCCGCACCGGGGUCCCGGUUCCCGUCCGCGGCCCGGGGGGACCCGAGCGGGGGCUUCCCACCCCCACCCCGCUCCUCCCCGGGCUCCGGCCCGGGAUCCCUCGCUGCUCCCGGCGACCUCCGCCGGCUUCCCGGUCCGCCCACCGCGGAACGGACGGGACCCGGGGUCCGCGCCCUUCCCCUCCCCCCACGGGGGGCUGGGUCGCGGACCCCGGUUCCUAGGCUCGUUCCGCGGUGGGCGACCGGGGAUCCCCCACCCAGCUCCCCUUCCCGGCCCGCCCCGCUGGCUUUUGGGCCCCUCCGGGCUUUUUUCCGGCUGGGGGUCGCGGCGGUCGGCCGACGACGACGGUAGGUGGGCCGGGUGGACGGUGGUGGGGACGGGCGACGCCCCGGCUCGACGGCAGUCGGUCCCGGAAGGUUGGGGGCUGGGGGCCCGGUCAGGAGCUCCGGGAGCGGGGUCGAGCGCGACGGCUUCCGGGUCUCGCGGCGGCUCCCUCUCGGCGACUCCGGUUGGGCUCCCCUCCCCCCUCUCGAGGGUCCGGCCGCCAGUCGUGACCGGGGGUCCCUCGGCCUAGCCGCCGGCUCUCGGGCCGCCUUAUCCUGGGCGUUGGCCGGUCCCGUGACGCUCCCCUCCCCCGCUGCUCCCCAAAAAACUCCGCCCGAACCGUCGCGGCUUGCUGGCCCUGGGCGUGGUCCCCCACUCCCCUCCCCCCAUCGGCCGCCCAGCCGGGGUCGGCGCCUCGGACCCCACCAGGCUGUGGCGUGUGUGCUGGCCGAUGCGGCGGCGAGGUUGGGUGUGGCCGGAAGCGCUCGGGGUCGACGGUGGGCCGCCAUGACACCUCAAUUGUCGUCAGUACGCCCCUCCACAAUCACCGUCCCCACACGAUGGGCCCGGCAGGUCACCCAACGUUGGUUCAGGCCCAGUCGGGUUUUUCCCCGGCACGAACGCACGUCCCCGUGGGCUCCACGCGUUUUCCACCCUUUCCUGGAGGGGUCCGGAACACCGUGAAUCCACGGGGAGGGUCCCGGCACGGGCCGAGGAGACCACGACCGUCCCACCCGGCGUGUCGACCCGUCCGAGACCCGGGAAGGGAACAGGCACCACCAUUUUUUUUUUCCCUUCUCCGAUUUGCCGUGGAAAACCCGUGAACCGAUACGGGUACAGACGGCCGAAAAAAAAUUCGAGACAACACGACGGCAGGGCGUGAUUUUCUCCCCCAUCCGACAAAACCGUGUCCCUUAAAAUUCCCCACCUUUCUCUGUUCAAAUGGCCCCGAAACUGUAAAACACCGUUUGACCGCACCCCAACCGGCGCCAUCUUGGUGACCUUCUCGACGGUUCUCUCGCUCGUCAUGCCGUUCUGAGCUCCGACAUGGCGGACGAGAGAAAAUGGCGUCGAGAGCCUAGGAGCGUUUUCGCUCCAGGUGGGUAAAAAAAUAGCACGAUAACUUUUCUGUGCUUUUUUUGAGACGCUUUAGAAGAGCUUUUUUCUGCUCAGAGCGAAAAAAUGAUAGCCCUGAAAAUCUCGACGAGUCUGGCCGAGCGGCGCCAUCUUGGAGGAGGGGCGAGUCGCGGGCACCGCCUCGGUACCCCCUGGCCGAGGCGAGUCCGCGGUCGCCGCCUGUUCCGUGAUGCUACCUAGAGGGCGCUGUCGAGGCGACUCUUCCUGUUUUCGCCCUGAGGGCUAACGGUCGCUGACGUCAAACCAUCUCGUGCUCGCUGAGUCACAUCCGGUUGUUGACAAGCGAUGGAGGACCGCACCCAAUGUGCGCCCUCUAGUCAUCGCGCCUGACCCCUUUUAUAAACUGCUCGAAGAAAAGAACACCUUAUGUGAAAAAAUACAGAAUGAUGACAAGUUCAUCCAACACAACCGCUCAACAACGCCAUAUCUAUCAGUGUCCAAAAACUAUCUUCUAUCCUUUGAAACUAUAAAUGCUGCCUAUAUACAUAUUUAGUAUCCAAGACUCUUACCACGUAGACGAAAAGAAGUGAUACAAUGAUCUUGACGUGUAUCGUCUAUAUCGUGCUAGAUAUAUUCAGAUAAGACGCGCAAACCAUAGAUUUCUCAUCAGUAUCAUGAAAGACCUAUAGCUCUAUAUACGAACCUAGUCAUUUUAGGACAGCCGCCGGAGAAGCCGACGAGGGAUCGGGCGGGUGCAGCCAGAACCUCACGCCCGAUCCCGCCUCCGGUAGGCGAUUUGCAUCUGUUUGGUAAAAAGCUCAUAAGUCUGUAUGUGACCUAUAUAUAUAUUAUACGCUAUGUACACCGAACUGUCGCUGUUGUAUAAGAAGAAAAAACUCUCCAUAUUUAUAUCGUCUGAAUUUUUGCUUGAUAGACACGUGUUUGGAACUCUGUCCCCCCACGUUUUCACUGUGUAUAACAAAAAUAUGUGUUUCUCAAAAGAUCUUGAGGUGUUUGAAAACGGGGGAAACCUGCGUUUGGGUGCGCUAAGCCCCGGACUGGGACGUAGCCGGCGUCCGGCACCUAUAUUUUUCUAUUUUUUUUUUUUUUUUUUUUUUUUUUUUUUUUUACAAAAUAUAUGAUGAACCAAGAAUAAAACUCUAGCUCUCGUCUAUUUUUAAUAUGCUCUACUUAGAACCUUUUUAAUGACAGAAUGAACUCCAUGUUAUACGCUCUUUAUAUAGUUUCUCUGCACUAACCUUUAAAACCGUAUCCUUCCCUGUUGUACAAAUCAUCUUUUGAUACACAAUGAUGACCUGAUAUCCCUCCAUAUAUGUGAUCGGAUAUUAUUCCGUUAGACUUGUCCUCCUUUUUUUUCCUCAUCUCCUAUAUCUGGAGAUAUAUGUUGACCACCACCGCCAUGACCACCAAAAAGCUAGCCGUCACGACUAGAAAUGUGUAGGAUUCGGACUUUCCGUUCGAGAAGAAAGAGACCGCGUCUCUGGACGCUCUUUUUGUCGGUCUGAAUCGACCCGGGAUACGUAAGAGAGCGGCCCUACAUCGGGGGGCGCUCGAGACCGACGACGUUCCAUCUGACCAGAAAAAAAAAAGGCACCCCUCGGUAGCGACCUCUCACCAUCGUUUGCCCGUCCGCCCGUCCUUCGUAGCCAUCAUCAUCAUCUCAGGCUCUAUCGGUACCAUCGUUGUCAUCUGAAAAAAAAACUGCCUCACCCACCUGCGUAAAAACACCAUCUUUCCGGAGGUGCGGUAAGACGGGCAAAUACGGUCGUGCCGAGGCAAAAAAACGCACCAUCGACACCACACCCUCAUGAGCACCACCUGUCGGUGUUGGUCGUCCUCCAUCGUUCUCUACGAACAUCUCGACGCCCGGGUGACGGACGACGGCAAGACGUCCCGGAGAAGACGGUGUUCUCUCGGGCGGUACGCUCUCUGGAUCUAUAAUAUCUAUAGUAGCUAAACGAGACUGUGAGUACGACGAACCACAUCAUCUUUUUUUUAUGUUGCUUCUUUAGAAAAUGACUUAUGUCGACGACACUCGGCAUCAGCCAUCUUGUGAAACACGCUCGCUUUUCGUCUCUCCAAGGAACACUGGGUCCGCUGAAAGGGACCGUGUACCGACCAAAGCAAAAAACACACACGUAGUAACAUGAUCAACCACGUCUGAAUGACACGAAAACACAAUCGUAUAACGCUCUAUUCAUGGAACGAACUUGGAAUAAAAAAAACCAUCGCAGGCCAGAGGCUAAGCCGAAACCGUCCGGGGAAGCGGGCGCGAGUUUUCCGACUUAGUCUCUGGUGCUCGUUGAGCCUCUUUUUUUUUUCUGAUUCUCUGAAGAAUCACCGUCACAGCCCUAUGACGCGAAAUCAAUUGCUAGAACAUAAACGUUCUCAACAGGUAUGAAAUGAACAAACUAGAUGAUGCUAUAACCUUAUAUUGUGUGUAUAUAGAUAGGUGUGAAAUUUGUAGGAUAAAAAGUGUCGUUGUAUGAUGCACAACGAUCGUGAAACUGGAGACUGUAGCUCUCUACCGAAUGCAAAUACACAAAUGACAUCGAUUCCCGUCCCCACAUAAAGAAAUGUGCUUUACUGUGAAAGAAUGAAGAAGAUUCUUGUUCCUCGUACGACGGGGCCCUCGCUCGUCGUGCCUCUUCCCCCCUCCGGGAGAGGGGACGUCGGGGCCCUCCGUCGCACCGGGCCGAAGCCAGUGAAAUGUUUACUACACUGUCAUCAGAAUAUAUGAUGUAUAUUAUUUCCUCCAAACUCCUCACCAUAGCCACCAAUUCGCAUCACUUAAGAAAGUAGUAGCAACCGCGGCGGCGGCGACCGGCCGGUCGUCGUCUCCUCGUCCUCAAAUGUUGUACAUGUGCAGAAAAAUGUGUAAAUACGUGUUAUUUAUCCCAUGCGUCUUGUACAUAGAUAUAUGUUUUUAUAUACGCUAUUUAUACUUUAUAUAUCCUUUUGCAUAACCAUAGACAGUCAAGGAUUUUAAUGAUUUGCUCAUCCGCCUUUGAGCCAUCGCUUAGGAGUUAGUUCCUCUAUGUUCUCGGCCCACCUUUUCGACUACAGUAGCAAACCCUUGUACUACCACCCCGAUAAAAACCACAUCAUCAUCGUCACCACGACCUGGAAACGACACACGUUCCCCCCCCCCCCCAAUCUUGGGCAUGUGUAUAUAUAAAAAGAAUGGGAGGGAGAGGACGUGGGGCUCGAGAAGAAAUAAACGCCAAGCUCGAUUCGAACC